AUGCAGCUGACGAGUCUCAAACAGGACGAAACGCGCGUUCUGGGU
RNAcentral lists this non-coding RNA (45 nucleotides) under Schistosoma margrebowiei. The record is from RNAcentral. Lineage: Eukaryota; Metazoa; Platyhelminthes; Trematoda; Strigeidida; Schistosomatidae.